UCGAACUCACAGCGAUCCUCCUGCUUCAGUCUCCUGAGUGCUGGGAUUACAGCCAUGUGCCACCAUGCCCGGCAGAGAUGCAGAUUUGAGACUUCCAGAUGAAAUGAUAGAAUAAAGUAAAAAUCAAAGACACUAUUUCUCUGAAAUCAAUCCAGAUGGGCCAUGAUUGCAACCAAACUCCCUUCCGGCCUGCUAGGAUGCUGACUUCCAUCAUCAGGAUAUUUACUCGGCUCCUUACUUCCCUGCUACACCCAGGCCACGAGGAAGUUCCCAGGAAGUAGCUGUUUCAUCCGGAAGAAAUUGGUCAUCUUUUCCUUCAUCAGCUGACAACCUGGCUAGGACUUUAUAAGAUGGAUGGGAUUCUACAUCUUCCAUCUACUUUAAUAUGAUCUCAAAUUCCUGCCUAAUAUGCCUUCCCUCAGGAAUGCACUGGGGAGGUGGCCUCUCCCGCCAAGCUCGUCUUUGAAUACCGGCACAGCCGCAGUCACGGCAAUGUCAUACAGAAGCUUGUCCAAUAGUCUUGAGUUUCUAAAUCCAGAAACAGGUAGAAAGCAAACUCUCUCCUCUUCUUACAGCUUAGACCUAGGUGUCCCCCCGAAACUUCAUGUGCUCAUAGACAGGGCUUUUGAAAGAUGACUGAAUUUUGGAGUGCUGUAGCUGAUUUGCUGUUGGGGAUAGGAUCCGGUCCGAAGAGGUGGGUCGCUGUGGGUGGACCUGGAAAGGGUUAUCUCCCUUUCCAGCUUCUCCUGUGACUCUCUGUGCUUCCCAGUCGCCAUGAAGUGAGCAGCUUGUUCUCCACCAUGCCCUUCGCCAUCCGUCCUGCCUUGGUGCUAACCAAAUAUGAAAUCAAAAUACAGCUCCAAAUAAAACCCUCCUCCUUUGA
This is a long non-coding RNA of Chinchilla lanigera (long-tailed chinchilla), 883 nucleotides long. RefSeq lists it as uncharacterized. NCBI's taxonomy places the organism in Eukaryota, Metazoa, Chordata, Mammalia, Rodentia, Chinchillidae. The transcript is spliced from 3 exons. The record is from RefSeq and is a predicted model, not a curated record.